Molecule: long non-coding RNA, 257 nt
Filed under: Dasypus novemcinctus (nine-banded armadillo)
Lineage: Eukaryota; Metazoa; Chordata; Mammalia; Cingulata; Dasypodidae
Description: lncRNA (ENSDNOG00000050238.1)
Source: RNAcentral
UGUAGUUUGGCUGUAAAUCGGAAGAGAUAAAAGCAGGUGCAGCCUCAAGGUGGUCCCUGAAUAUUCCCUCAUAUCCCAUUCCUCACUUUGAGUACUGGGUGAUUUCUGAGACAGCUAUUGGAAAAGAGAAAUGCCUGAGGAGGGAGUUCAGAGAUUCCUUGUGGGACGUUUCCUACUGGUUUGAAUUAACAAACAAAGUUCUGUACAUAUUUUUAAAAGAGGAAUUCAAACAAACCCACAAAUCUGUGGAAGCCCUU